GACAGAGGGUGCAACCGUUGUUCGGAAUUACUGGGCGUAAAGCGCGUGUAGGCUGCCCCGCAAGUCGGAUGUGAAAGCCCUGGGCUCAACCUAGGAAGUGCAUUCGAAACUGCGGGGCUGGAGUCCUGGAGAGGAAGGCGGAAUUCUCGGUGUAGAGGUGAAAUGCGUAGAUAUCGUAAGGAAGACCAGUGGCGAAGGCGGGUCUCUGGACAGUUCCUGACGCUGAGGCACGAAGGCCAGGGGAGCAAACGGG
RNAcentral lists this ribosomal RNA (253 nucleotides) under uncultured bacterium. RNAcentral describes it as "partial 16S ribosomal RNA". It matches the Rfam family "Bacterial small subunit ribosomal RNA", at positions 524 to 776 of the family's 1533-position model. The record is from RNAcentral.